CUGAUUCAUCUUCAUAAGUCCAAAUUCUUGCCUAGUCAAUAUCUAAUAAAUCCAUCAGAAAAUAAGUACAGUUUACAUUGUUUUCAUUGAACCAUAAUUAUAAUUGUAAAGAGUAUAUUCCAAUGCCAUGAAUGAAAAACAUAUAAUAUAUUCAAAUAUUAGUGGGUGACAUCAGGAUCACAACCCCACCAAUAUUACAAAUUACUCAAAUGAGCAAAAAUUAAGUAGCAACUGCAUAAUAAUUUGUAUCUAUACAUAGAUUUUUAAAAGGAAUAUGAACCUGAUAUAUAAAAUGUAAUAAGCGUAAAAUUUCUUACUAGUGUUAAAAUAUGACAAAUUAAU
RNAcentral lists this long non-coding RNA (342 nucleotides) under Mytilus galloprovincialis (Mediterranean mussel). Lineage: Eukaryota; Metazoa; Mollusca; Bivalvia; Mytilida; Mytilidae. The record is from RNAcentral.